RNAcentral lists this long non-coding RNA (6412 nucleotides) under Homo sapiens (human). RNAcentral describes it as "non-protein coding lnc-CDC73-5:1". The record is from RNAcentral. Lineage: Eukaryota; Metazoa; Chordata; Mammalia; Primates; Hominidae.
CAUGAAAAGAUUAUUGGGAUUUGUCAGGCAUAGUAUUUCUCUGAGGAAUAAAUGAAAUAUAAAUUUCACUUUGGAAACUAAUGAGUUAAAACCAUUUACAGUUUCUGUUAACGAGUUAAAUAAUGUAUAGAAUCAUAGUUCGUAAUGGUAGCAAGUUCAUGCUCUGCUGAACUUACUGUUUGAUUAUGGUCAAAUUUUCUAUGUUAUUAUUAUAGUAGAAUUAAGAGUGUGUCCUGGUAAAUUACAUUACCUUCACAGUUUGAGCAUUCUGAUUUUAACAUUUUGUAGUUUCAAAACAAACUGUACUCAUAUAAUCAGAGCAUUAACAGCAGCAUCAUGUCAGUGGUACCAAUAAUUGUGAAUCUUCUGCAACAAAAUUUCUUUAAUGAUGAGUUUAAUGGGCUAUAUUCAAACCUAAUUUUUAUUCAAUUCAUAAGUGCCCACUAAAUAUGUAUUUUAUUUCUGCUGUUCUGUUCCUUUGAUUAUCUGCUUUUCAGUGAGCAUCUGCAUAGCUAAAAUAGAUAUAGCAUGUGUUGUAAAUGCUGUUGAAUUUUUUUAAGGCUCAAAGGUGCUAGUAUAUAAAUAACAGCACAUUGCCAAAUAAGCAUUUUUUCUUUCAUUUUCUGAAGUACUUUCAUAUUUACUCAUGUAAUUAUCAGCAUUUAUGGUGAGUUGGAAUAAUUUUUCCUCUUUAUUUUCUUAAAUGACCCUAGAAAACAAUGUAAAGUAGCUCUGAAGAAGGCUUUGUUGUUGAAUCUGUCUCAUAAUUACUUGUGGAUCCUUUGACACAGAAUUAUUUAUAGUUUAUAAUUCACCCUCAUCUAGAGAAUGAUGAUUUCUAUUACAUAAGUAAUGUAAAUUACUAAGAGAGAAUAUCCUGAGCAGUUCCCAAUGGUGGGUGGCUGGCUAAAAGGAAUCCCUGGAGAUUUUAGUGUGGUAGGAAAGCAUUUUCAUUCUUGAGGAUUUUUCUUUGACUUUUCUAUGGGCUGGCUGAUUUCCUCAGUUUGCUUUGUUCUGGGUUUUAGGGGAGAAUUCUUGGGAGGUUGUGAAUUUUCUUUGCCUACAGUGAGAUGGUUAGAUGCUGAGUUUUUCGUUCUCACUCACUCCCUUGCCAGUUCCUUAGAUGUUAUGAUCCAGCUAUGACCCAGCUUUACACUUUCUUCACCCAGAAGUGACCUCACCUUUUCAUGACAGAGGAAACAGAAGCCAUGGACUUCUUAAUGCUAUAUGUCACAAACCUGUAUGCAUGUAAGAAUCUUUUAUUUCCUCGUAUUCCAGUGUUUUAAACAUCCUGUCACCCAUCAGGGACUUGUCCUUCAUAUGUAUUUCUCCUACACCUUUCCUACUCUGUCAUGCAUUUUGCACUAUUACUGUAUCUCUUUCUUGUAUUUUCAUCUUGUCACCCUGUAUUUAUUUAUUUUCCACCCACUUUUAAACUUAGUUACAUCUUUCAUGGUAAACAGGUUCUAGGGAGAUGGUUUGAUUAUGUAUCUUAAAUUCCCUCCCCUCAAUCUCUGUUUCCAUCUGCCAACUACCCUGUCUUGAAUAGAGCAGCUGCUGUGAGCCUGGAGCCUUUGGGCAAAUAAGAGUGUAUACAGUCCCUUGAUUUUACCAGAAGAUGGGAAAGAGAGCUUGCUUUGAUUUUCUUCCUGUAAUCCAGAUGAAGGUUUAGAGACGGGCAGCUGUGAAGCCUUCAGCAAAGGUCUGAACGGAAAGAACCUUGCUUUCAAAGAUACAUGGAUUUAGAGGAAAAGCGGUGCAGUUCAUAUGUAUGGUACUAGGAAGACUAGCUUCAGAAAAAGACAUUGGAAGAGAUUUUCCUCCUGUCAUCUGUGAUGAGGAGUGGCAACUUGCUGGUUAGUAGAUAAUCAGCCUACAGAAGAGAGCUGCCUUCUAUUGCUCACAAGUUUGUUUCCGCUCAAGAGUAUCCCACAAUUUGAUUUAUGCUAAAUGGGGAGUGAGUGGACAAAGAAGAAUAUCUAAGGAAACCUAAAGAAAAAUAGCAUCUAGAGAGAACAGGAACACAGAAGAAAUGGAUGGUGAAAAAGAAUUGCUGGUGGAGAUGAAUGACAACUUUAAUUUUGAAAAAGCACCUGAGAAAAUUCAGUCAGUAUAAAAUAAACUUUCUAGCAAUUAAACUACAUUAAAAUGUGGUAGAAAAAGAGAGGCAUGGCCACUAUUGGGGACUAAAUAGUGGCCUUGGAUAUCAUGUAGAAGUAGUUAUCUUUGGAAAAGUAAAAAUCCAAAGACACGGAGAUUUCAAAAAUCAAAACACCUAGAAGACGAGUCUAAGAUAUUUAAUGUGAGUAAGUGAAGAACCACAAGGAGAAAAAGGGAAACGAUACAGGAGGGCACAAUUACUAAAUACUAUAGGAAACUUUAGUUCGAAAGGGCUCUCACUCUAAUAGGUUCCAAGCAACAUGGGUGGGGUUGGAGUGUGGGGACACACCUAGGCAGAUAAAUUUCAUUCAAAUAUUUAUUGUUACUUCCUGCAGUGACAAGUACUGUUUUAGUUGCUGGGAAUACAGGGUGAACAAAGCAAUGUUAGUUCCUUUAUUGGGUGGAAGGAAGUAAAUGAAUAAAUAUGUCUCAGGUGGUAAUAAGUAAUACAAAAAAAAAAAUUACAAUGUGUGAGAUACAAAUCAAAAACACUUCUUUUUUUUUUUUUUCCCCUCAGUAACAGGAUGGAGUUUCUGUUUAUACUGUGAUGGGGAGGAUUGUGUAAGGAUCAGAUUUUGCAGUGGUAGCAGCUGGAGGAAUCAAUUUAGUUUCGGAAUGUUGAGUUUGAGAUGCUAUUAAACAUGGAGGAGAUAUUCAAAUUCUUGAAUUUCAGGGUAAAAAGAGGAAUUUACAAAGGAAAAAGAAAAUGACAUCUCUAGACUUUAGAAUGCAACCAAGAAUCCCUUUUUCAGGUAAGAUCAUUCAUCUUGAGGAUAUGUAAUGAUCCAAAUGAUAUAUCUGUAUGUGUAUAACUUCACAUAAGGAAAAUAACUUAAAAACUUUAAACAGACAGCAAAUUAUAACAAAGGCCUGUAUUCUCUGAUAGAGUGACUGGGUAUUUAUAACAUAAGUGUUAAGUAAUCUUCAAGCAGAAAAGAUAAUACAUGGAAAAAUCUCACACUAGUAACUAUCAGUACUAAAGUAAGCUAUCUUAGCAAAACUUAGAAGUGACAGCUGAGCCAGAGGAGUAGAGUGAGUGAAAGCAUUCUAAAUUUCACAACCCUAGUGACAACAAAUGUUUGCCUUCAUGGAAGAACAACAUUUGUUCUUGCAACUAAUCAGAACUUACAUAUUUUUAACAAGUAGCUUUCUAAAAGCCACUAAAGCCCUUUGGAAUAUUUUUUAAAACAACUUCUUUUGAGGUUAUGGAGAUUUUUAAAUAGGUCAGGAAAUUAUUUCUAAGUUGUUAUAUUGUGAAGAUAAAAAAGUUUUGGUAGGUAAUAUGUUUGCAGCCACAAAAGCACAAAAUACAAUGUUUUUAAUAUUCAAGAUGUUUCAAAAUGUUCUUUACGUGGCACAAACUUUUUUCUAAAAGUAUUCACAGACUUCUGGUCAUCUGAUUUUAUAAUUUUCCAUUUUGUGUGGCAUGGUAUGCUGGAUGCGAGGGGAUAAGGCUUCACUGUCAGGUCUUAUUCUCCCCUCACCUUAUAUACAGAUCAGAUGAAGCCAUCUGUACCCAUAUAUUAACUAUUAAUAAAGUUGAAUUUAAAUACAAAUAUGUAUUUUAACAUCUUCUUCUAGCAUCCCACUGAAUUAUCUUGCAUGUUCCCUGAGGUGUGUGUGCCUUACUUUGGAGACCUAUAGUACUAAGUAAAAAUCUUUUUAUACAGUAUUUGUCUUGUGUGGGUCAUGAGCAUUAGCAUCCAAUGGUAGGUGUGUGAUUAAAAUGCAGAUUCCUUGGCCCCGUCCCAAAUUUACUAAAUAGGCCUUUGUGGGUUAUAGCCUUGGGAUCUACAAAUUUAACAAGAUUGAGAAAACCUAAGGCCUAAUUAUCUUUCAGCCUCAUCUAAUCCUUCCCUCCCAAAGACGUGAGCGCCACAUACAUUCUUUUGCAGCCUCUCAACACACCAUUCCUUUUCGCAUCUCCAUACCUCUGUAAAUGUUUCUUUCCCUGCCUGGAAUGUUAUGAACAGCAUAAGGUAUUUGCCAUUGUUAGUAUUAUCCCAUAUGAGAAAAAAAAAUAGACCAGAAUUAAUGCUCUUAAAGCUAAUUGAGCAAAGAUGUGUUUACAUCAAUGUUAUCCAUGUUCUCAUUGAUUUAUGAAAAUCAGAUAUUUAUUUUCCACACAUAUACUACAAAAUCUUGAAAUCUACUUGUAUGGGGAUGAUCACAGAUUGUAUCUGAAGAAAUGAACACACACACAAAUAUAUAUGGAAGACUAAGUAGUCAUAGCAAUAUCUAGUAAGGAGUAAUUAAAAAUUCACUUUUUCCCUCUUCCAUACUUUUAUAACAUCAGCACACCAUUAAAUUAUAGUAAUCACCGCACUGUAAUUCAUCUUCAAAAUAGUGGGGUGUACCAGUUAUCAAUUUGUUAUCUGUGAGCUCUAAGGUACACCUUGCUUUGCAGUGUUGAAACUCGAUGCUUGUACAGGUUUCUCCUUUGUGAGCAGGUUCAGUGUUAGGCUUUUUCAUUGGAGGGACACAGUAAGGCAAUAGCAAGGGGAAUAGGCUUCUCUUUCUGGUUCUGGUGUGCUGUUAUUUGAUUGGCUGCCAGCAGAUUGGCCUGCAGAAGGUCAGUCUCACCUCAACAACCUUCGUAAGGGUGGCCCACACCUUCCUUUCAAGUUUCUCUGCUGCCUGGUAAAAUGUCCCUACAGAACACCUUUGGCCUACCCAGAACCUCCAGUGAUUCUUCUACCGGGUGAGGUGCUCUGAUUCGAUCAGCUCUGGCCUUUCCCCUUGGUAAAUUUCUUCCAUCUACAGCCCAAGUUCCUGUGGCAACUAUGCCCUCUCCAAAGAGUUCUGAGUCUCAGCCCUGGAAUAGUGCUGGGGAGUGACUCAUGAGUUCUUAGUAUUCUUUCUCCCUUUGUUAUUUCCGUACCCGUUAGAAUCUUCUUUAUAACUUUUAGUAAACCAUCUUUUAUUAACAAUUUUCUAUAUUUAAUUUUCUCUAUUCAAAUUACUAGUUUGUGCAGAAUCUAGAUUUUAUAGAAAAAAACAAACAAAUGCCUAGUGAUUUGUUUCUAUCUCCCUCCUGUGUGGUUUCUAUCUCCCUCCUGAUUGGAUCCUGACUGAUACGUUGGGGUAUGCUGCUCAUGAGAGAUUUCUUUCAGAGUGGUGAAUAAACUAUGUCCUAGAAGGCAUAUUGUAUCAGGAAGGGUCACGUGUUAGAGCUGUGGUUUACAUUAAUAUAUACAGUGUUAGGAGGAGCAUAAAGAGGAAAACACCAUUGUGGCAAAGUAAUCCUGUGGAAACCAGAGAGAGAGAGAUUUGAUAAAGUCUUGGUGACUGACCUGAGUACGAAACCAGUGGUGGUGGUAGUGGGAAUCUUUAGAUUAAUGAAUAUUGAUUUAUUCAUAAGCUACAAAAUUCAAAGGGCACCCAGUUUCUCUUUCUAGAGGUAAUUACUAUGUUCAGAUUCCUGGGACCUUUCCAGGUAUCUGAUGUAUAAAUACCUCUCUCUCUUUCCCUCUCUUUCUAACACAGAUAUUAGUAUUCCUCUGUGUCUUACUUUAUCCCCUUAAUAGUAUAUCUUGGAAAUCAUUGUUUUCUUUAAAAAAAUGUUUUAAUUGAGGUAAGCAUUCAUUAUACAGUAAAUGUCUUGUUCCUUUUAACUGGCUGCAUACCCUGUCAACCUAUGGCUGUGCCAACACUGGAGAGAGUCUGGGUUGAGUAUAGUCUUUUUGCCAUUAUAAACAGGGUUGCAGUGAACAUUCAUGUGUAUACUUCUUUGUACCUAUGUAUGAGUGUAUCCUGGAUAAAUUCCUAAAAGUGACGCCACUGGAUUGGAGGUCAUUUUUUUUUAAACUUUUUAUUUUGAAAUAAUUAUAGAUUCAUAAGAAGUUGCAAAAACAGGACAGAGAGGCCCCAGUUGCCCUUCACCUAGUUUCUCCCAAUGAUAGCAUCUUACAUAACAUGAUACAGCAUGGUAUAUCAUAUCAAAACCAGCACAUUGGUACAAUCUACAAACCUUAUUCAGAUUUCACCAGUUUUACAUGCCCUUGUGUGCAUGUGUGUCUGUGUCUUUGUGGUUUUAUGUGCUUUUAUCAGGAGUAGAUUUGUAUAACCUCAAACAAGAUGCAGAACUGUUCUGUCAGCACAAAGAUCCCUUGUGCUACCUCAUAGUCACACCAAACCUCCUCUCCUCCUUUUGUCAUCACGGCAUUCCUAACUGUUGACAAGCAGCUAAUCUGUUCUCCAUCUCUGUAACUUUGUUAUUUUGAGAAUAUAAUUGAAAUCGUAUAGCAUGUAA